UGGGGAAUAUUGCACAAUGGGCGAAAGCCUGAUGCAGCAACGCCGCGUGAGUGAUGAAGGCCUUCGGGUUGUAAAGCUCUGUCUUUUGGGACGAUAAUGACGGUACCAAAGGAGGAAGCCACGGCUAACUACGUGCCAGCAGCCGCGGUAAUACGUAGGUGGCAAGCGUUGUCCGGAUUUACUGGGCGUAAAGGAUGCGUAGGCGGAUUUUUAAGUGAGAUGUGAAAACCCUAAGCUUAACUUGGGGACUGCAUUUCAUACUGGAAAUCUAGAGUGCGGGAGAGGAGAAUGGAAUUCCUAGUGUAGCGGUGAAAUGCGUAGAGAUUAGGAAGAACACCAGUGGCGAAGGCGAUUCUCUGGACCGUAACUGACGCUGAGGCAUGAAAGCGUGGGUAACAAACAGGAUUAGAUACCCUGGUAGUCCACGCCGUAAACGAUGAGUACUAGGUGUAGGAGGUAUCGACCCCUUCUGUGCCGCAGUUAACACAAUAAGUACUCCGCCUGGGAAGUACGAUCGCAAGAUUAAAACUUAAAGGAAUUGACGGGGUCAUAGCUGUUUCCU
This 562-nucleotide ribosomal RNA is filed under the name uncultured bacterium. Its description in RNAcentral is "partial 16S ribosomal RNA". It matches the Rfam family "Bacterial small subunit ribosomal RNA", at positions 355 to 1375 of the family's 1533-position model. The record is from RNAcentral.